RNAcentral lists this transfer RNA (83 nucleotides) under Halocalculus aciditolerans. It matches the Rfam family "tRNA". From Rfam's summary of the family: Transfer RNA (tRNA) molecules are approximately 80 nucleotides in length. The record is from Rfam by way of RNAcentral. Lineage: Archaea; Methanobacteriati; Methanobacteriota; Halobacteria; Halobacteriales; Halobacteriaceae.
GCGGGGGUAGCCAAGCGGUCAACGGCGGCGGAUUCAAGUCCCGCUCUCGUAGGAGUUCAAGGGUUCGAAUCCCUUCCCCCGCA